GGACUACCCGGGUAUCUAAUCCUGUUCGCUCCCCUAGCUUUCGCACCUGAGCGUCAGUUCAUCGCCAGGACACUGCCUUCGCCUUUGGUGUUCUUCCGGAUCUCUACGCAUUUCACCACUCCACCCGGAAUUCCGUGUCCCUCUCGAUGCCUCAAGUCCAUCCGUUUUGAAGGCACUCUCUCGGUUUAGCCGACAGCUGUCACCCCCAACGCGAUGGACCGCCUGCGUGCGCUUUACGCCCAGUAACUCCGGACAACGCUCGCCCCCUACGUAUUACCGCGGCGGCUGGCAC
This 292-nucleotide ribosomal RNA is filed under the name uncultured bacterium. RNAcentral's name for it is "partial 16S ribosomal RNA". The record is from RNAcentral.